This 76-nucleotide transfer RNA is filed under the name Achromobacter xylosoxidans. Its description in RNAcentral is "tRNA-Thr". It matches the Rfam family "tRNA". From Rfam's summary of the family: Transfer RNA (tRNA) molecules are approximately 80 nucleotides in length. Their secondary structure includes four short double-helical elements and three loops (D, anti-codon, and T loops). Lineage: Bacteria; Pseudomonadati; Pseudomonadota; Betaproteobacteria; Burkholderiales; Alcaligenaceae. The record is from RNAcentral. RNAcentral also lists the same sequence under 1 other name.
GCCGUCGUAGCUCAGUUGGCAGAGCAGCUGUUUCGUAAACAGCAGGUCACAGGUUCGAGACCUGUCGCCGGCACCA